RNAcentral lists this small RNA (68 nucleotides) under Spongiibacter sp. IMCC21906. RNAcentral's name for it is "int-alpA RNA". It matches the Rfam family "int-alpA RNA". From Rfam's summary of the family: Acidobacteria (1 example), Planctomycetes (1 example), Proteobacteria. Environment (Lake Washington) The record is from Rfam by way of RNAcentral. Lineage: Bacteria; Pseudomonadati; Pseudomonadota; Gammaproteobacteria; Cellvibrionales; Spongiibacteraceae.
GCCACCCCUAACCCGACGGGGAACAGGCCGUAAACCUUCACCGGCUUGGGGUGGUAACCUUUGAAGGG